CCUACGGGAGGCAGCAGUGAGGAAUCUUCCACAAUGGGCGAAAGCCUGAUGGAGCGACACCGCGUGAAGGAUGAAGCCUUUGUUGGUGUAAACUUCUUUUUUCUCCGAAGAUAAUGACGGUAGGAGAA
RNAcentral lists this ribosomal RNA (128 nucleotides) under uncultured bacterium. RNAcentral's name for it is "partial 16S ribosomal RNA". It matches the Rfam family "Bacterial small subunit ribosomal RNA", at positions 338 to 483 of the family's 1533-position model. The record is from RNAcentral.